UGUAGUGGUAUGAGGCACCAUGGCCUCAAGCUCGGCUCUGUUUGCCUCUCAAGCUCUUAGCCAAUCAUGGUGCAGACAGAGGGUAUAAAAGUAGGCUGUGUUCCUCCCCCUGACCUCUCGCUUCCUGCCUCUUCGGCCCGCCCACUUCCGGGUCGUCGCCCAUACUGCUCACCUCGGAGCACAGGUAGGCUCACAUUGGCAUGUGAUUUGUGCACCCUCGUCUGGGUUUUAUUUAAUCUAAAUCGUCGUUGAUUGCUAGAUCUGGCAUUUGGCGUCUGGGGACGAGACUGUCGGGCGCGUUCACCGCUGUCAUCCAAGCCUAGGCGAGUCAUGGCGAGCUACCUUUUGUUUGUUGUUGUUAGCCAGGUGCUAAGCCCCUUUCCGCUCCUUCCCUCAUAGUUGUCGGUCUCCUCGUGCAGCGCGUGGCUGUCUCCGCCUGCUGUGCAGGCUUUCUUCACCCCUCUCCCUCUUGGACGGGACUAAAACUCCCGGCGGAUGAACCGGACCUUGCAGACCCUGAAAGCUAAGUACGGUUAUGGCUGGUUAGCCCCGGCUACCUGGAUACUGCCGCUGUGCUGCUGCUGUUGCAUCGCUGCCGCUUUGCUGCCGUUAUUAAACGCUUCCGCUGUUUGCCGGCCUGCUUCGGGGUGCGGUCGGCUGCCUCACGCCGACUCCCCUUUGUUGACUUUGUCCCCCAGCAGCCGUGCGAGGUGCGGAGCGAGUGUGUUACCCGGGUGGGCGCGACUGCGAGCCCCCAGUUCGGACUGUGUGUGAGGAUGUGUGUUUGACUUUUUAAAGGCACUCUGUGAAGGUCGCUCAUUCAUUUCGUUUUGUUCUUUUUGGGUAAUUUCUUGGUUUGUUUGUUUUAUUUGUUUUGUUUAAGUGAUUUGUUUAUUUUUUGGAAACGUACUUAUUAUACUUUAAUGGGUAAUGUUUUAGUUGGAGAUCCUUUUAGUUAGUGCUUUGAAUGAAUUAAUUUUUGGUUUUCUGAGUUUAUCUCUGGCCAGAGAGUCGUAAUUUGUUUCCUUUGUUUGAUUUCUGAUUCAUUUUGAACAUUAUUACCCAGUUAAAUUGAUUAGUUAUUGAUUUGGUUAUGUUUUGGUGUGUUUCCUUUAUGAGUCCCUUGCCCUAAUUGUGUUUCUUUUCCCCCUACAGAGCUGACGGCCAACGGUGGUGGUGGUGGUCCUCCAAGGUGGUGGUGAUCCCUGAGUGUGUGCGUUUUAUUUGACUCCCCGUUUGAAGAUUUAUUUGUGUGCACCUUAUGUUUGCUGUGAGUGGGGUGUUCUCUUUUCUUUGGACGUCACCAGUUUUGACCCCUCCUCUAGCCCGUACGCCUCAGCCUGUAUCCCUGUUUUAGUUGGGCUCUGUCAUUAUCAUAUUUUGCAUCUUAUUAAUUAUGUCGACCUUUUAUUAAUAAAUUUUGUACAUUGAUUAUUGAUUCUCGUCUCCUGCCUCCCUGGUUGAACGAACCUGAGUGCCUCAGAUAACAAGGUAAUUGACCUUUAGAUACGGGUCCUUGGGCCCUCUCCCAAGGUGGCAUUGUUGGACAACAAAGUUCGGGUGGUACCCAAACUGAUAAUAUAUAGCUCGUGCCGCCACAAACUGAAAUCAUCCACCAUCAUCUGCCUGAUCAGAAUGGGAUAGAGCGUAGCUGUGUUUACAGCAUAACACCUUCAAUUCCUUAAACCAGAGCGCGAGAAACACAAGAAACACAGGAACAUCUGUUCACUGACAAAAACUAAAAGAAAAGUGAACAAAGGUCAGUAUAACUUGUGUGUAAACACAUUGGUCUGUAGUUUGUUAAUUAUCAUGAAUAUUAUUUUUCUUAUAACUUUUUUUUUAUUAUACAAUGAACUUCCAACAACUUUAUUUCAUAAGGAUAUAACCUAAAAGAUCUUUAAAAUGUAUAAAUAUACGUAUAUUCAGACAUACAAAACAUCCCCACUUUUCCAAAAAUAAAAAUUACAAAAAGCUCCAAAAAGCUACAGUAUUUGCAUGUUUUAGUGGCUCGAUUUUUCCUCUAAGGUAGAUUUCUCUGGAGCUCCCACCUACAUAUUUGUUUGUUUGCUGAUGGUUUCUGUAUCCUGUCAUAGUUGAUCUUAUAAUCAGCAGCAUCCCUUUUCUGAGUCAGCUGGCUCAUUUGUAGACAGAUAAAGUCCUUCACUGCAGGCUGCCUUUUUUAACCGCUCUGUAUUAAAGCAGUAAGGUCAUAUCUGCUGCUCUACAACCUUUUAAAAAGAAAAAUGUUUUCUUCUGCUCUUUAACAGAAAACAUCAUUAACAUUCACAAGGGCCUAUACUGAGAGACCCUCACCAUGACUCAUAUGCUGAAAAUUUUCCGUCAGAAAUUGUUGUUUUUUUUGGCUUCAGUCCCUGUUUACUUUCAUACCACAGGUCCAAAUUCCCCCCCUGGUUAUGUUGUGCAUUAAAAAGUUUGCUGUUCAGGAGCCAACUUCCAAAUUGGUUGUCAUAGACACAACAUGUGUCCUCAUUGUUCAUUUCUGCAGCUGAUUUCCAAACAAUACCAGCCUCAUGCUUCCCAGUGGACGGCGGAUGCUUGUUGCAUGUUGUUGUGCAAGAGAUUAAACAUGAAUGGACAAAUAAAGCAAUCACCGGCAUGUUUACAGCCUUUAUGUUACUGCACAGAAUAAUAAGACAACCAUGACACUAACGGCUUCCAGUAAAUUGGAAAAUUAAUGUAAACAUGUAUGAUGUGCCUUAGAAAAUGCACCAAUGGUACUCAUGGUGCACAUUAUUUAGCAACAAAGCUCAAGAGCCAGGGCUUAAAAUAUGCAAAACCAUCAUUAUGGUGCUUCAGCGAUAAUGCUUGUUGCCUGCAAUUACUUGCUUCAUAAGUAUUUCAAUCUAUAGUGAGGGCUCUGCCACUGAUGCCAGCUCUGGUUUGCUUCAAAUAUUUGCUCCUGGGCGUUUGGGGGCAAGUCUAACCCGAACAGAAAGUACAGACUACACAAGGCAGACAAGAUACUUAUGAUGACUUAUGUAUUUAUUUAAAAAGCUGUCCAAUAAAGAGCUAUGACUCCUUGCAUCACUCUGCAGUAGCUUUAACUGGUUUGACAGUACCCUAUUGCCUGCUUACCUUGAAUUUAUGGCACAUCCUUAAAAGUAUGUUGAGCUAUAUGCCAAAGU
Molecule: long non-coding RNA, 3146 nt
Filed under: Xyrichtys novacula (pearly razorfish)
Lineage: Eukaryota; Metazoa; Chordata; Actinopteri; Labriformes; Labridae
Source: RNAcentral